RNAcentral lists this long non-coding RNA (512 nucleotides) under Parus major (Great Tit). Its description in RNAcentral is "lncRNA (ENSPMJG00000017063.1)". The record is from RNAcentral. Lineage: Eukaryota; Metazoa; Chordata; Aves; Passeriformes; Paridae.
GCUCUGGGAACGGCACGGCCGGGAGGCUGCAGGCACCUGCUCCUCCCAAAUCCCGCGGAUUUACCGCUCCUGGCACCUUCCUGCUGCCACUGGCUCCAUCCCAGGGAAUCUCCCGAGGGACAGAAGUGGGAAAGCAGCACUUAGAGGUUACAAUUCCUUCUUUUUCUGCGCUGCUCCUGAAUCCUGGCUCUGGAGGAGGAAGGAUCCCAUGCACUCCUGGAGGACAAAUCCUGCUGCUCCCAGGGCCCGUGCUGAAGGCUCGGGGUGAGGGACAGAGGGGACAGCCAGGACAUGCAGGAGCAGCUCCCGAGGCUGCAGCUGGAGCUCAGGGACAGCGAUGGAACCUCAGGGCUGGGAGAGGUUCUUCCCUCGCCUCCAGCCCCAGCUCCACACCCGGAACCUGCCCGGGCUCCAUCCCCUCCCCGUGAGGAGGAUCCCACCAGGAGCUCAGCUCCUGCCACACGGAACUGACAGGAAAAAACUCCAUUUUCUGCUGGCCUUUGGGAAUUGUC